AUUGAACGCUGGCGGCAUGCCUUACACAUGCAAGUCGAACGGUAACGGGCCUUCGGGUGCCGACGAGUGGCGAACGGGUGAGUAAUACAUCGGAACGUGCCCGAUCGUGGGGGAUAACGAGGCGAAAGCUUUGCUAAUACCGCAUACGAUCUACGGAUGAAAGCAGGGGACCGCAAGGCCUUGCGCGGACGGAGCGGCCGAUGGCAGAUUAGGUAGUUGGUGGGAUAAAAGCUUACCAAGCCGACGAUCUGUAGCUGGUCUGAGAGGAUGAUCAGCCACACUGGGACUGAGACACGGCCCAGACUCCUACGAGAGGCAGCAGUGGGGAAUUUUGGACAAUGGGCGCAAGCCUGAUCCAGCCAUGCCGCGUGCAGGAUGAAGGCCUUCGGGUUGUAAACUGCUUUUGUACGGAACGAAAAGCCUUCUUUUAAUACAGGAGGGUCAUGACGGUACCGUAAGAAUAAGCACCGGCUAACUACGUG
This 482-nucleotide ribosomal RNA is filed under the name uncultured bacterium. RNAcentral's name for it is "partial 16S ribosomal RNA". It matches the Rfam family "Bacterial small subunit ribosomal RNA", at positions 30 to 507 of the family's 1533-position model. The record is from RNAcentral.